GGGCGCAAGCCUGAUCCAGCCAUGCCGCGUGAGUGAUAGAAGGCCUUAUGGGUUGUAAAGCUCUUUCACCGGGGAAGAUAAUGACGGUACC
Molecule: ribosomal RNA, 91 nt
Filed under: uncultured bacterium
Lineage: Bacteria
Description: partial 16S ribosomal RNA
Source: RNAcentral